This 572-nucleotide ribosomal RNA is filed under the name Bacillus sp. PCAM18. RNAcentral's name for it is "bacterial SSU rRNA". It matches the Rfam family "Bacterial small subunit ribosomal RNA", at positions 134 to 691 of the family's 1533-position model. The record is from RNAcentral. Lineage: Bacteria; Bacillati; Bacillota; Bacilli; Caryophanales; Bacillaceae.
AAGACUGGGAUAACUCCGGGAAACCGGGGCUAAUACCGGAUAACAUUUUGAACCGCAUGGUUCGAAAUUGAAAGGCGGCUUCGGCUGUCACUUAUGGAUGGACCCGCGUCGCAUUAGCUAGUUGGUGAGGUAACGGCUCACCAAGGCAACGAUGCGUAGCCGACCUGAGAGGGUGAUCGGCCACACUGGGACUGAGACACGGCCCAGACUCCUACGGGAGGCAGCAGUAGGGAAUCUUCCGCAAUGGACGAAAGUCUGACGGAGCAACGCCGCGUGAGUGAUGAAGGCUUUCGGGUCGUAAAACUCUGUUGUUAGGGAAGAACAAGUGCUAGUUGAAUAAGCUGGCACCUUGACGGUACCUAACCAGAAAGCCACGGCUAACUACGUGCCAGCAGCCGCGGUAAUACGUAGGUGGCAAGCGUUAUCCGGAAUUAUUGGGCGUAAAGCGCGCGCAGGUGGUUUCUUAAGUCUGAUGUGAAAGCCCACGGCUCAACCGUGGAGGGUCAUUGGAAACUGGGAGACUUGAGUGCAGAAGAGGAAAGUGGAAUUCCAUGUGUAGCGGUGAAAUGCGU